This 345-nucleotide unclassified non-coding RNA is filed under the name soil metagenome. RNAcentral describes it as "partial contains 5.8S ribosomal RNA, internal transcribed spacer 2, and large subunit ribosomal RNA". The stretch from base 1 to 119 matches the Rfam family "5.8S ribosomal RNA", at positions 35 to 154 of the family's 154-position model. The record is from RNAcentral.
GAUGAAGAACGCAGCGAAAUGUGAUAAGUAAUGUGAAUUGCAAAUUCAGUGAAUCAUCGAGUCUUUGAACGCACAUUGCGCCCCCUGGUAUUCCGGGGGGCAUGCCUGUCCGAGCGUCAUUGCUGCCCUCAAGCACGGCUUGUGUGUUGGGCCCCGUCCUCCGAUCCCGGGGGACGGGCCCGAAAGGCAGCGGCGGCACCGCGUCCGGUCCUCGAGCGUAUGGGGCUUUGUCACCCGCUCUGUAGGCCCGGCCGGCGCUUGCCGAUCAACCCAAAUUUUUAUCCAGGUUGACCUCGGAUCAGGUAGGGAUACCCGCUGAACUUAAGCAUAUCAAUAAGCGGAGGA